CCAGCCUGGGUGACAGAGCGAGAGUCCGUCUCAAAAAAAAAAAAAGAAAAAAAUCCAUUUAAUCAGAGCCAUACUUGUUGAUUACUACAGGUGCUUCCCGUAUCUAAUACCUCCAGCAAGAAGGUUUGCGAAAUGGGCAGAGAGUAAUAGGAAGAGUUUCAGGAAGAUGGUUUGAGUGAAAAUCAUUUCAGAACCGAGCCCUGCGAAGUCUUGGUUUCUGCAAUCCACCACAGUUUGGGAAAAUCGGGAAUUUUGUUUAGUCCAUUUCUAUUUUUGUGCACCACAAAUAUGUAAACAAAGCUGGGAUCUUCGUCGGGGGCGGAGGGAAGGGCGACAGAACCCUGACAUCUAAUACUGGUCAUCGGUAUUUCCAUGUGUUUCCUGAUCCCAUUGUCUCUGCUAUUUAAAUUAAUUAAUUCCACAAGUAUGCACUCAGUAAAUAUUGUGAGCCAGGCACUAUUCUCGGCUCUGUGGUUGCAUCAGUGAACAAAACAGACGCUAAUCCUGCUUUCGUGAGCCAUCUAUAAUAGAAUGGGCGAGUCAAGAAAUUGACACAUGCAUUAGAAAAAUAUGUAGCGUGUCGCUGAGUCGUCUGGGAGCUCUCCGAGGCAAAUAACUUUUGAAGUUGGCAUGAGCAGGAUAUUGUGCAAUGGGGCUCACUGGCUGCGUCCCAGGCCUCCGCAUCUGAUGUGAACCACAGCUUUGCAAUCGGGUCCCCGUGCCAUCCAAAAAUAUUUUGUGACCUUGCCGGUUGGCAGUUUUUUAAAAAUGUUAUUUUCAGUCUCCAAAAAAGGGAAACAUCAAAGUGCAGGCUGUCCACUCCUGCCCUUCUUGAUAGACACAGACAGCUGGGCCACACAAUCAGCCAUUGUGGCGACAAGUGCCCAACUGUUAUAAAUAGACGGCGGGCUCGCACGUGAAGCGCUCCAGAGGAAGGGCAAGUGCUCUGGGGACACUGCCAACUGCUGUUUCCGUCGAGAGCUCUUCUCAAAGAUCAAUAUUAUUUUAUGUCUCAGUGACUGAAUUUGAAAAAACGACUGUGAAAGCACCUGGUAACUUAACUGUCUCCAGGAUUCCAUUCCAAACGCAUCUUCUCUCUUCACUGUUAAUCUUAGAUGUUUCCCAUGCUUAUUUAGUAAUCAUUGCCUGACGGCCCACUUCACUGCGAUUUACAGUCUCUUGCGGCUCACUUGAAAUGGUAGAGUUAUGGAUAACCGCGCUGGUGUAUGUGCGUGUGAUGCGUGGCCGGAAGCGCAUGCCCAUUGAAUAAUCACGUUCGUCCCACAUCUUAGCCCCUCUUCCAAGACAUGUUUACUAUCGUUUACGUGUGACAUGUCAAAACAUCUUAAAACUAUGCCACGCAUGUAAUAGGCUCUCAGUGAUUAAAAAAUCAGUUUGUCUCUUAAGGAGAAAAGAAUAACAGCAUGUGACUCUUGUGAGUCCCUGACAAAGAAUCUGUUGUUCCCCGUGCACUUGAAGAGCCGCUCAUGUCAAGAAGCAACUUGUGAUUAUGCAAUGUGUGACUUAAGGCAUUGUCAGAUGCGUUCGGCUGAAACGGGACCCCGCCCCAGCAGUUUGCCUUACUAAGUUAACAUGGUAGGUCAGAUUUUAGUAUUGUAGAAAAAGCCACAUUCAAUAUUCUUUGAGUAGCAUAUUUAUUUCCUAGGGCUACUGUACCAAAGUACCUCAAACCAGGUGGCUUCAAACAACAGAGUUACACGCUAGUUGAUAUCUAGUGAUUCAAAGAACAGAAUUCCACACUAGUUGUUAUCUAGGAAUGCGGAGUGAGUGAUAGAGGGGGUUUUGGUGGCGUUAUAUUCUAAUUUUGAAGUAAGUUUAAAUUUACAGAGAUGCUCCCAAACAGUAUAAAGAAUUCCCAAAUACUCUUCACCCAGAUUCCCUGAAUUAACAUUCCGACAUGUUUGUCUGUCUGUCUCUCCACAUACACACAUCCCUUUUUUCCGGAAUAAUUUGAGAAUAGACUGCAGAGAGUGCCUCUAGAUUCUCCUGUGUGGGUUUCCUAAAAACAAGGACGCUGUCCCGGAUAGCCUGCACCGACCUGCCCAAAUCAGGACGUGGGCACUGUCACACCAUGCCACCAAAUGCAGAGGCCCCGGAGCCCGCCCAGGACCACAGGCGCCGUCUGUGUCAAUGGCUCUCGAGUCUCCUUCAAUCUGGGGCUGUUCCUUCGUCUCUGUCUUUCACGACCUUGACAUUUUUUUAAGAGAACAGGCCAGUUACUUUGUAGAAUGUCCCUCGGUUUGGGCUGGUCUCAUAUUCCUUCAUGAUGAGAAUCAGGUGGUAGGUUCCUGGCAGGAGAGUCCCUGCAGGGUUGUCACGACAGGAACGCACACAGGUCUGAUCAGUCCCAUUUCUGGAGAAGUUAACUUAUCAUUUGGUUGAGGUGGUGUCUACCAGGUUUCUCCACUGUAAAAUUAAUUUGUUGGUAUUUUGUAAUUAUCAGUUAAAAAGUACUGUUUCUGGUGGGGAGAUUUUUUGGGGACUCGGAAAAUAUCCUGUUUCUCAUUAAGCUUUUUGCCCAUUUGUUUUAGCAUCCUGGGAUGAUUCUUGCCUGAGGGAAUUAGUAUGAGCAUUGCCAAAUGGUGAUGUUUCUAGUUGCAUUGUUUCUUUUGCAUUGAUUAGUUGGCAUUCCACUGCAAGCUGGAGCUUGCCUGCUGUCUUUCUCUCCUUCCUAUCAAUACACUCAUAGACUCCUAUUUUACCCAUUGGGUUAUAAUUCAUUACCAUUAUCAUUUGCUUCGAUACCCAGAUUGUCCCAGAUUUGGCCAAAAGCAGCGCCUCCAAGCUGGCCCCUGUGUUCUUUUGAUGUGUUCAUGUCAUUCUUUGAGCACAUCUUUACUUCUUCUUCUUUUUUUUUUUUUUUUAGAUGGAGUCUUGCUCUGUUGCCCAGGUGGGAGUUCAGUGGCGUGAUCUCUGCUCAUUGCAAGCUCCGCCUCCCGGGUUCACGCCAUUCUCCCGCCUCAGUCUCCCGAGUAGCUGGGACUACAGGCGCCCGCCACCACGCCCGGCUAAUUUUUGUAUUUUUAGUAGAGACGGGGUUUCACUGUGUUAACCAGGAUGGUCUCAAUCCCCUGACCUCGUGAUCUGCCUGCCUCAGCCUCCCAAAGUGUUGGGAUUACAGGUGAGAGCCACCAUGCCUGGCCAGGUUUUUUCGUUUUUGUUUUUGUUUUUUUUGAGAUGGAAUCUCACUCUGUUGCCCCGGCUGGAGUGCAAUGGCGUGAUCAUGGCUCACUGAAACCUCUGCCUCCUGGGUCCAUGCAAUUCUCCUGCCUCAGCCUCCCAUGUAGCUGGGAUUACAGGCGUGCGCCACCACACCCAGCUAAUUUUUGUAUAUUUAGUAGAGAUGGGGUUUCACCAUGUUGGCCAGGCUGAUCUCCAACUUGUAACCUCAGGUGAUCUGCCUGCCUCGUCCUCCCAAAGUGCUGGGAUGACAGGUGUGAGCCACUGCUCCCGGCCACAUGUUUAGUUCUUGGUUCUAGGCUCACCCGGAACUUUCCUUGCUCCAGCCCUGGAAUCAGCCAUUUCUCCAAUAAGCCCUGGUUCCUUUUAGUAGAAAGUGGUUUUUAGAAACCAGGAUCUAAGUAUUAGGUGUGUUCACGCUACUGGGCUAUUACGGCUACAAGGACUUCUCAAGCAGCGUAGUUAGGAAUUUUUUUUUUUUUUUUUUUUUUUUGAGACGGAGUUUCACUCUUGUUGCCAAGACUGGCAUGCAGUGGCAGGAACUUGGCUCACCGCAACCUCUGCCUCCCGGUUCAAGCAGUUCUCCUGCCUCAGCCUCCCUAGUAGCUGGGAUUACAGGCAUGCGCCACCACGUCCGGCUAAUUUUGUAUUUUUAGUAGAGACGGGGUUUCACCAUGUUGGUCAGGCUGGGUCUCAAACUCCUGACCUCAGGUGACCCAUCCAUCUUGGCUUCCCAGAGUGCUGGGAUUACAGGCAUGAGCCACCGCGCCUGGCAUAGCUAGGAAAUUAAACAUAUGCAUGUACUUCCCUACACGUACACAUAUGUUUGUACAUACACACACGGGCACACAUGCGUUUGUAGUUCUUUGUAUCCAUCUGUCCCGCUCGUAUCUAUGUAUCCAUUCAUCUCAUAUAAAAAUCAUGAUACCAUCCAA
Homo sapiens (human) is the source of this 4136-nucleotide long non-coding RNA. RefSeq lists it as uncharacterized. The record is from RefSeq and is a predicted model, not a curated record. The transcript has 2 exons. NCBI's taxonomy places the organism in Eukaryota, Metazoa, Chordata, Mammalia, Primates, Hominidae.